Molecule: non-coding RNA, 3187 nt
Organism: Oryctolagus cuniculus (rabbit)
Lineage: Eukaryota; Metazoa; Chordata; Mammalia; Lagomorpha; Leporidae
Source: RefSeq, a predicted model, not a curated record
CACUGACUUCACACCAAUAUUUACUAUGUUAGACAAUAUUCUUUGGGUAGAUUGCUCUUUCUUGCCAGACUGUAAACUUCAUGGGGGCAAGAAACAUAUUUGCUUUGACACUAAAACUCAGUAUCUUGACAGAGUCAGUCUUUUAGUUGAAUGAAUAAAUGAGAAUAUACAGAAUAAAUAAAUAGUAUUUCUACCCUCCAAGAACUGCCUAAUAGAGGAGACAAGGAAAUUGAAAUGUAUUUCAUAACUUUCACUAUUAGGUGAAUAUAUAAUUUGUUGUUCUGACACAAGUUUGAUCAUAAAAAGGGCAUAUUAAUAAUUACACAGAGUUGAAGUGUAUAAACAGGAACGAGCUAGGGCCAAGCAGGUUAAAUGUUCACCCUAGCUAUAUAAGGUAUUCCACAUCAAUAGAAGAGGGAGAAGGAUGAGGGUACGGAGUGCAGGAGGGAGGGUGGUUAUGGUGGGAAGAAUCACCAUGUUCCUAAAGUUGUAAUUAUGAAAUGUAUGCAGAUUAUAUUCCUUAAAUCAAAGGUUUCUGGGGAAAAAUAGAAUCUAUUUUGGUAGAUAUUAUAGCUUUUACCAAGAAACUAAGAGAAAUGUGUGAAAUUCUAUUUUUUUAAUAUUUAUUUUAUUUUAUUGAAAGAGUUACAGAGAGAGGUAGAGCCAGAAAGAGAUCUCCCAACCUCUGAUUCACUCCCCAAAUGACUGCAAUGGCCAGAACUGAGCUGAUCCAAAGCCAAGAGCCAGGGUCUCCCACAUGUGUGCAGGGACCCAAGGACUUGGGCCGUCUUCUGCUUUCCCAGACCAUAGCAGAGAGCUGGAUCAGAAGUGGAGUAGCAGGACUCAAACCAGUGCCCAUAUGGAUGCCAGCACUGCAGGUGUGGCUUACGUGCUACACCACAGCCCUGGCCCCCCUACAAUGUUUCUACUUAGUAAAACCAAAUAUUUACACUAAUGGGGUAUUUCCUGGAAAGCUAUGCAGGAAGGUCGGGUCCUAGAAACUGAGACCCUGCUUCCCACAUGUGAAGCAAGGAGGAACUGACAAUCCUGAAAACAAUUCCUCACCUGCAUGUACACCAUACACAAGCACUGUAUCUCCCUGGUUACACCUUGUCCCCACUGCCCGAUUGAGGGAGACGUGGGGCUGCCAUGAAACAGCUCCUCACAGAGGGCUCUGAGGAUGAGACAUCUCUUUGAACAGGGAAGGGGCCUACCAGGGCAGACCGCAUUUUCUAGACCACAAGGAACCGAGGGGUGUGCUGUGGGGACAGCGAGAAUCGGGCCCACAGGUUCCAGAGAUGACCUCUGGGAGCCCGCAUCCUGCCAGCAGGUACCACCAGCUUCCCCUUCCCCCACUCUGGACACCUGGCCCCACACACCAUUGCUGGGCAUAUGAGAUGGGCUGUGUUGGGUGGAAAAAGUCAGAGAACAGCGGAUGCUGCACUAGCUCCUGAGUCUCCAAGUGGCAGAGGCCCCUCCUUGGACCUCUCUCCUCCAGGAAUUUGGAACUCAGUGGUGUCACAAUCCAGUGUGAUUAUGUGGCAGUGACUCCACUGCACCGGAUUGGACAGCUCACAUAGCCGUCAGCACGCAGGACACAGAGGACUCAACAAAUCAGCAUCUUUACAGCAGAGAUGGGAAACUCCAGGCUCCAGGCUGCUCCAGAUGGUAGAGAGGUGAGGCCUGGGUUCAGGGGCCAAGGGCCUCCUCUAGGCUGCACCCUUUCACCAAAGGGAUCCUGCCACCUUCUGGGACCCUCCUGCCUCCCCAUGGGUCUUCCUUAGAGAAUCCUACCUGGAGGCUGCAGUAACCUGCUUAAGGGUUGCACAAUUCUGCCCAAAAGGACCUUGUAGAGAGAUUGGAAGGCAGGAGGAAGAGCUGGAACUUGAUUCUCCCAGUGCAUAUCAUUCCUGGCAGAGCAAGUGUUUCUUCACCAGGCAGAAGUCCUGCUCAUUUUAGCUUCCAGCUUCUUUGUGCUCUUCCUGAACCAGCCUCAUGCCCCCACAGCAGAACAUCAGAAGCACUGGAGCUGCUUGGAGCUGCUUCUCCUCUUCAGAGGUUUGAAAUGCCAUGAUACAACUCUCUCCAGCUGGCUUAUUCACUUGAAGUGGAUAGUGGCUGGACUGAUCAUAUUGAAAUACCAAGUCAACCAAUCUAUCCAAAACCAUCCAAUGGAAGCCAAAGUCAAAGAUGAUGCCUUCCUCAAAUCCCCCUAAGGGGAGUGCUUUCCUGAGAUUAACAAAGUGCUGUCAUCUGGUAAUGGACUCCUGUGUGGACCUCCUCCAACUGGACGACACUCCAUGGAUUGUUUCACCAUUCUUUCUUAGGCAGAGAGAUCAGUUUUUUCAAUGUAAUGAUUUUACAGUUUAAGUCCUCUCAGAAACUGCCUACAUAAACCUUUCUGGGAUAAAGAAUUAAAAAAAUAAAGUACAAAGGAACUAUCAGAUGGGAAAACACAUUGUGCAAUAUGAAGUCUAACAACUCUGGAUUCUGAAUUAUAACAGAAGGCAUUGAUGUUGUUUUCUGGGAGAAUGAUUGAACUGCUAUGGUUGGCAUGCUCACUUUUUAGGGCCACAUGAGGGAAAGGGGUACAAGCUGCUUGCUUGCUAUAGUCCCCUCUAGCUCUGUUCCUGGCAUCCCAAAAUGUGUAAGAGUCCAAGAAGGUGUCAAGGAAAUGGGAUUUACUAGGGAUAUAUAAUUUGUUGUUUGCAAUAAAAUGAGAAAUAUCAUCCACUAGUGAGGUAUGUCACUUCUUAAUUCUUAGUUUAAAAAAACCAUUGAAAAGGAAAGAUUAUUCCUAGUGCCUGGCAUUGAACAAAAUGUUUACUGCCAAGAGUCGUCACUAACCAGAAUGUGAGUAGUUAUGUGAACUUUUACUCCAUGGAUCGCAGGAACCACAUACGAUUGCUGAUAAAAUACAGAAUUCCAGUUAAAUUUGAAUUUCAAACAAAAAAAUACUUUGGCACAAGUAUUACAUGAGGCAAACUUACAUUAAAAAGUAUUCAUGGCUUUUAAGAAACUCAUUUACCUUCUAUGUAUCAGGCAAACAGCCAUGGAUGUACAUGGAUGUACAUGUGCAUGUGCUCACACAUUUGUUCAAUAGGCACACAUUUGCACAUCCACAUGUCUGUGUGAACACAUUUGUGUACCAGACACAUGUCUGUGUAUUUAUGUGUACACGGGAGCA